GGUUACUGCUAUCGGUGUUCGCCUAAGCCAUGCGAGUCAUAUGUUCUUCGGAACAUGGCGUAUUGCUCAGUAACACGUGGAUAACCUGCCCUUGGGUCCGGCAUAACCCCGGGAAACUGGGGAUAAUUCCGGAUAACGCACAUAUGCUGGAAUGCUUUAUGCGUCAAAUGGAUUCAUCCGCCCAAGGAUGGGUCUGCGGCCUAUCAGGUAGUAGUGGGUGUAAUGUACCUACUAGCCUACGACGGGUACGGGUUGUGAGAGCAAGAGCCCGGAGAUGGAUUCUGAGACAUGAAUCCAGGCCCUACGGGGCGCAGCAGGCGCGAAAACUUUACAAUGCGGGAAACCGUGAUAAGGGGACACCGAGUGCCAGCAUCAUAUGCUGGCUGUCCAGGUGUGUAAAAUACACCUGUUAGCAAGGGCCGGGCAAGACCGGUGCCAGCCGCCGCGGUAACACCGGCGGCCCGAGUGGUGAUCGUGAUUAUUGGGUCUAAAGGGUCCGUAGCCGGUUUGGUCAGUCCUCCGGGAAAUCUGACGGCCUAACCGUUAGGCUUUCGGGGGAUACUGCCAGACUUGGAACCGGGAGAGGUAAGAGGUACUACAGGGGUAGGAGUGAAAUCUUGUAAUCCCUGUGGGACCACCUGUGGCGAAGGCGUCU
This 655-nucleotide ribosomal RNA is filed under the name uncultured archaeon. Its description in RNAcentral is "bacterial SSU rRNA". It matches the Rfam family "Archaeal small subunit ribosomal RNA", at positions 21 to 677 of the family's 1478-position model. The record is from RNAcentral.